ACUCCCUGCCCUGAGGUGUCUAGAUGGAUGGGCACCUUUCUGGGGUACCCAAGAUGCCCUCAUUAAGAGUAGGCUGGACUUGGGGAUUUCUGUGGCCCCAACUUCAACUUUCUUACCCCAUCUAGAUGAUUAAAAAGAAAGGAAAAAAAAAAUCUUCUCCUGGGAAUUUGAAAAGGAGUCUUCAUGAGAGGAGGGACCAGUUUUAUGUGAGGGUGAACGAAGGCUGCUUACCAUUGGCUGUGGGACCAAGAAGCCUGAAGGGAUUUAAGGUGGGGUGCGGGGGAUGACACGGUUGCACUGCAGACAGAUUGAAGCGGGGGAAUGGAGGCAGGAAGACCCACUAGGAAAGUGCUGGCAUAGCCCGGGAAGAGGUACCCCUGGGAGGCAGUGGUUAAAAGCCUGGAUGCCCAGUCAGACAGAUCCGUGAGGUGCUGACCUUGGAAAUAAUGUACUGUCUUCCAAGGGUUGUCACUGUGAGAAUGAAGUGACAGAGACAUGCACAACACUUCACACAGGGCCUGACACAAAGACUGUGCUCAGCCCAUGCAAGCUACCAGGCCCACUGAGGCGCCCCUGUCUCUCCCUCUGCUCAGUAAAGAUGUGCUGAGCAUCUGCCUGGUGCUAAGUGCUGUGACUAAGGAGGAAGAUGUCAUUCCUGCCCUCCGGCCUUUUUUGUUGCAGAUGAAUGAAGAGGUUGAACUCUCAGGAAAAGUUCAGUUUAAAGGCCUGGAGGACAAGGAAUAUGCAAUAUUCUUGUUGUUUUCUCCUCAGCAUCCAGCCUGGGGCCAAGAGAAUUUUGGGAACUGGAUUGGAUGCCAGCGGGAUGGUUAACAUGUCAAGCGGGGUCUUCUGUGACACCCGUGAUCCUUCUUAGUGUGAAUAGUGUAAAAAUUGGUGAUUUAUUAUACUGUGAAAUAAAGAAGAUGAAAUAAAAA
This is a non-coding RNA of Vicugna pacos (alpaca), 935 nucleotides long. The record is from RefSeq and is a predicted model, not a curated record. Lineage: Eukaryota; Metazoa; Chordata; Mammalia; Artiodactyla; Camelidae.